This is a non-coding RNA of Arachis ipaensis, 2190 nucleotides long. Lineage: Eukaryota; Viridiplantae; Streptophyta; Magnoliopsida; Fabales; Fabaceae. The record is from RefSeq and is a predicted model, not a curated record.
UUGAUAGUUACUCUAGAGUGGAGGGUUCAUUGCAGGUUUGAGCAUAAACUUAGGAGUUAGGAAGAUGCAGUAUAACCAUGGCAGAAUUAUGGGGGCUGUAUCUGGGAGUGAAAUUGGCAGUUGAUUUGAAGAUUCCUAACCUGGUAAUGGAGUCCGAUUACAAAUGGAACUGGGAGUUUCCUUCUUCGAAGUUCCUCCUUGAUUCACGCCUUGCGUGCUGAUUCUCAGGGUGUUGCUUUUACUAGAAGAGUUGUGAUUAGUUAUUUUUGUGUUCUUUGGGCCUUAGGCCUCUUCAACAUUAAAAAAAAAUGUUGUGCAUAUAUGCAGUUUUCUGCCGGAAAGAUAGAGAGUAUGUCUCAAAAAUUGGCUUUAAUAGAGGAUAUCCUGAGCAAGAAUAUCAAAAUUUUUCUUCAGCUUGCCCAUGGAUGAGUGUAGUUCUAGUUAGCAGCAGUGGAUGAGAUUGGCAGACUGCAACCAAAUGGCGGGAUAAUCUGUAGCAACUGUUGCAGUUUCUCGUUUUACUCAAAUUUGGAUGAUCAAGUUACCACACAUUUAAUUCUUGCAACUAAACAAGAUUUGCUUUUUAUUGUUGACAUUUCUGAUAUAUUUAUUGGUGAGUUAGAUACAAAGUAUGGGAACUUGGUCCAAAGCAACAGCAGAAAAAGACAAGAAAGUGAGAGGUGCUAAAAUUGUUGGAGUCCUACAUGGGGAUGAAGCUGCCAUUAUACUGCAAACUACUUUUGGCUUCUAUCAUUAAUGCCUUAGUUCAAAAGCCCUUUAAUGAUGUGUUGCAUAUGGUUAGGCCACAUAGGAUAGAUUUCAAUAUUAUUGUAGAUUACUGUGGUUGGCAGUCAUUUUCACUAUUGGCCUCUGAAUUUGUUAAACAGGUUAACAAUCUGGGUUACAUAACUGAGUUUGUUUAUUCUGUAAAGAAUGAAAACAUUAUAGAGAAACUCUACAAAAUCAUAUUUCUGUUCUGAUGGCUAUAAGGAAAGCACUUCAGGAUCACUUAACAGAAUAAAAGUCAUCCAUGAAAUGGAAUUGUCUCAUGCUGAUGAUCAGAGGAGAAUGUCUUACCCUUCUGCUGAACAAGCCUUGAAGCAUCUUUUGUGGUUGGCUGAUCCUGACACAGUCUAUGAAUCUGCGUUGGGUCUGUAUGAUUUAAAUCUUGCAGCCAUUGUGGCAUUGAAUGCUGCAAAGAAGAUGCCCUUCCUUGAGGCAUGGGGAGAUUAUCUUGGUGACAAAUAGUGCUUUGAAGAUGCUGCAACAAUUUAUUUGUCAUGUUCUGCCUGGAUAAGGCUCUGAAGUCUUACCGUGCUAUUAAUAACUGGAGUGGGUUGCUUACAAUUGCUGGGUUCCUUAAUCUUGGAAAAGAUGAGGUCCUGCAUCUUGCUAGUGAGCUUUGUUAAACAGCUAGGAAGCUACAACAUGUGGCGGAGAACUUUCAACUUUCUCAAAUGGCAGCUGUUAGAUUAGAUGAAGAAACAAUGUCUAAUGAUACCAUAAAUGAGCAGACACAUACUUUGGAGCAAUACAGUCGAAAAGUGCGGAGCCAUAUGCACGAUUUGGAGGCUUUCUCCUGGCGACAUAAAAGUUUUUAUAUCCUGCGAGUGAGGGUAGCAAAGUCACAUAAGAUAUGUAUCUUCAUACAGUUUUUGUGAUGUUAGCUUCCAGAAUAUGAAUUUCUAAAUUGUAAGAUUUCAUUUUUCUAUAACAUUUUAAUCUACAGCCAAACAUGAUAAUCUCAACUCCUCUGAGGAAGCAGAUUGCAGUUUAUGCCACUCUCUGGUGACCAGCUCGUUGAGAUGCAUAGAUCUUGCAGCAGGACAGAAAAUAACAUCUAGGCAGAGGUGGACACCAACACCAUCGAUGCUUCAAAUUCUUGAGCGUAUAUUUGAUCAAGGCAAUGGAACACCAAGCAAGGAAAAUAAAGAGAUAACUGCUGAAACUUAGCCACCAUGGCCACAUUUCUGAAACAAAUGUAUUAUUUUGUGCCACCUACUAAGUCAGAAGUAGACGCUGAAGUUGAUUCUAAGGAUAAGAAUACAAAGCCAGAGGAGUUAAUUGGUUCGCAACAACAACUUAGUACUGUUAGGAUGACUACUACUAAUCGGUCAGAAAAGUUGUGCUUUCAUAAGCUUGAGUUUCAGAAAGGCGAGAAAAGGUCGGUUUGUUUCUUGCAGACUAAAU